RNAcentral lists this microRNA precursor (68 nucleotides) under Gallus gallus (chicken). RNAcentral's name for it is "microRNA gga-mir-12293 precursor". The record is from miRBase by way of RNAcentral. Lineage: Eukaryota; Metazoa; Chordata; Aves; Galliformes; Phasianidae.
CGCCUCUUGAUCUACUGUUCAGUCAUUAUGAAGGUGAGCUGCUUGAUGACUGAAGCACUAGAUCAAGA